GAUGAAGAACGCAGCGAAAUGCGAUAAGUAAUGCGAAUUGCAGAAUCCGUGAAUCAUCGAAUCUUUGAACGCACAUUGCGCCCUUUGGUAUUCCGAAGGGCAUGCCUGUUCGAGCGUCAUUAUCACCCCUCAAGCCCCGGCUUGGUGUUGGGCUCUCGGUGGUCGUCUCCGACCACCCGUCUCAAAGAUAGUGAUGGCGUCCCAGAGGGAACCGGUACGAGGAGCUUUCACGAGCAUGUACGCGGGACGACUCUGCGGGCGACGGUCUUAUUUACUUUAUAUACAAGUGUUGACCUCGGAUCAGGUAGGAAUACCCGCUGAACUUAAGCAUAUCAAUAAGCGGAGGA
Molecule: unclassified non-coding RNA, 347 nt
Filed under: soil metagenome
Description: partial contains 5.8S ribosomal RNA, internal transcribed spacer 2, and large subunit ribosomal RNA
Rfam family: 5.8S ribosomal RNA (bases 1-119)
Source: RNAcentral